AGGUUGCACCGUGUGUUCUCGCUGGUGCACAGGCACGCACACAAGCUGAUUUCUUUUCCUGCUGCAGUGACGGCGCAAAGCUGCGCGACGUGAGGAGAGGAGCACACCGCAACAACGGAGGGCCGUGUUUCCACGGCAGCCCUGCAACCUUCCAAUCCAUAUGCACAUCUCCAAUACCACGUUUCUGGAAAUGACCUCUUCAGCUUCGUCAGCCAUGGUCGAGAUCACGGUGCAGGACCCCGCGACUCAUCACGAGCGCGCGUUUCUCUGCGCCCUGGGCCCACUCCGCACGCACAUGCGCUACUUUGAGCCUCUUAUCCAACGCCAAAUAAACGAGGCCAAGGUGUCGCCGCCGCCCGAAUCGUCCUCCUCGCUUGCAGUGGCCUUCACCCUCCGUGCACGGUGCGACCACGCCACGUUUCAGUGGCUGAUGAACUGGAUUAGCGGCAAAGCGCCGCAAAUCACAAACAGCAACGUUGUAAGCAUCUGCCUCUCCUCGAGUUUCCUGCAGAUGCAGGAGCUGUCGGACAACGCGCUCAUGUACCUCAGCGCGCACUUGAAGGAGAUUGUGCCGUCCAGCUUCGACUUGACGAACCUGCCAACACACCUGGUUCUGCGGUUGAGUCACAUGGUGCGUGACAUCGACCUGGCUGCCGCACUGCUCCGCCUGCACGAGGAGCGGAGCGCGAACCACCCGAACCGCGCCUUUGUCGCGUCGCUGCUGCAACACUAUGUGUGCCACAAAGUGGGUGUGGCUGAUGGUGCAGAAGUGUCUUUGCAAACCGACGCGGCGGCGACAGCCAGCAGCGACACCAACGGAGGCGCAUGGUCCCCAGCCGGGUUGCCAGCGACGCACAGUGGCCAGCUGACUCUUCCUCCCACCUGUGGCUUGCGCUGGUGCUGCCUGUGUGCAACCUUGUUUGAUGAAGGUGAGCUUGAUCGGCUCGGCCGCACCUCUCAGCUCUCUGGCCCCGAGUGUCCAGCACAAUCGGGACCGGCAAGCCACACCGGUGGCAGAGCUCAUCACGCAUCGAUCGCGGGUCGAGGGUGGCGCGUUGGCCCACGUGGCGAGGUCUUCGCUACCCACGCUGCAGCACGGCACACAACGCCGGUCAUUCUCGAGGCGCCACCAGCACUCAAGGGUAGCGAAGUCUCUGCGCCGACGUUGGCUGCAGAGGCCGCGCCACCGCUCACAGCAGAGUUGGAGCGGUGGGCGUGGCGCAUCAUCGGUGCGAUCCGGUACGCGGGCUGUCGACGUUGCUUCCACCUCGUGAGCCUCCUCGACGUAUCAAAGCAUUGGUGCUCGGAGCUGCCGAGGAAGUUCUCGUCUCCGGACAACGUGGCUGAAGACUUCAAACACCUAAUCCGCUGGUUCGACUACUGCGCAGAGCACAACGUGUACGAGCGCGAGGGCGGUCUAACGCCCAUGCGAUACAGCGGGCCGGCUCACGCACUCGCCGAGGAGAUUGUGGAGGUGCCUACCUUUGGCUCAAAGCCAGAGCCUGUCUCACGAGGCGCAUCCGCAACCGCGGCGGAGAGCCACAACGGCGUGAGGGCAGCAGGGCUGGAAGGCACUGGGGCCGUGGCGGUGCGCAGUGCUGGCAGCAACUCCUUCACCGCUCUCACGUCGCCACACUCGACCGACAUUUGCCUCUGGGCCACCAUGCCUUUCUACGUGAAGGAGGUCAUGAGCGAGAAUGUUGUUGACAUCGACAUUCUCAACUACGUGGAGCGGCAGCACCGCUUCGGGAGCGAGGCGCAGCAGCGCAGGGCUUCUGCGGCGCAGAACUACUCGGCGAUGCGUCUGUCUAUCUCGCCCGUUGUUACGGGGACCGCAAGAGGCCACGCUGGUGGUCAGCUGGCCUCGUCGUCGUCCUCGCCGCGUCCGCUGUCGAGCAUUGGUGGCACGAGUGGCGGUGGCGCUGCGAGCCGCUUCAAGGGCAACAGCAGCGGCGGUGCUCGUGGCAGUCGACCGCGCGCCGACCCUCACACAUCGCCAUACGGGUCGCUGUCGUCGACACACCGCUGAUGGACGUCGCUUCUGCGCUGCUUGCCUUGGCUUCCAGUUUUCUUAGCCUUUUUCUUUUUGCUUUUUCUGUCGGGGGUGGGUGGGGGGGGCUUGACAUGGUCACCUUAUUGCUGUGGCCCCCCUCCACUCUGGGCCUUGCGGAUCUCCCCCUUUCUCUGUGAAGCGGCGAGCCACACAGCGCCGUGGAAAUGGUGUAUGUCUCUGUUGUCUGAGCAUCUGCGUGCGUGCGAUUCUCAGCGCAUCCCAUGUGAUGUGCAGCGAAGGUCGUCGUAUGUCUGUGUGUGUGGGGGUGUGGGUGGGUGGGGGCCGCGCGCGAUCGGAUGCGCGCAUCGUGCGGAGGUCCCCAGACGGGCGAUUCCGUGUUGACUGAGCCGUCGCCGGCUGGAAGGCUUCGCCCUUUUGGCCGUUGUCGUCUUCCUACAAAAGGGCAUGGACAGUGUCGUUGACGUAUGACAGGAGUGACAACUCGCCUCCGAGGCAGACCAGCGCACCCUGACUCAUCCAGAGAUCGAUAUGGAGGCUGCGGACCGCGCCAUCGACUCUCUUUCUGUGUCUCGCACAACGACUACUUAAUCACUCACUUGUACGGUGGCUGGCUCACCAUGAGGAGAGACCCACCGGGGGUGACAACAUGAACAUCAAGGAGAGAGAAACAAAGGCCAAAGGCGACGGCGACGGCCACAGCAACCAACGACGCCCCUCUCGUGUGCUGAGGCGCACUUCUUUUAUGCGUGCUGUUCGCGUGUUCUUCUAAGGGGGGGGGGAGGGUGGAGACUUUGCAGUGCUACCGCCAGAUGCGUUACGCUUCCUGUCUUCGACUGCUGUGUCUCCAGGGCCGUGCUCCCGCCAUCGUCCCGUGGAUAGAGAACAAGGAUGCUACUUGAGCGAGCGCAGCUAUUGACC
RNAcentral lists this unclassified non-coding RNA (2932 nucleotides) under Leishmania donovani. RNAcentral's name for it is "gene:LdHU3.28.2290(CDS-product:Domain_of_unknown_ function_(DUF3342)_putative)". The record is from RNAcentral. Lineage: Eukaryota; Euglenozoa; Kinetoplastea; Trypanosomatida; Trypanosomatidae.